ACCCUUUUCGCCGAGGAAGAGAGAACGCCGAAACUAAUCAGCUUUUUUUCUUCUUAUCCCUUGCUUGGCUGCCUCUGUCAUAUGCAUAGUGACAAAUACCUUGCCUUUGCUGCCUAUCUACUUCUAAAAUUCUAUAAAUACCCUCACUCCAUGUCGUAAUCUCAUCGACCAAGAACGGUUACGAAGGAGAAAAAUGGGAGCUCUGGAUUACGUUUCCGAUCUAUUCUCAUUCCCACGCAGCAACAGCAGCAUCAAGAAGCGCAAGAAGCGCAAGCAGUUGCAGGUGUGUAUGCUAAUUUGAUAUUUUGCACCCACUUUAUUUCAUUUCCACCCACCUACUUUCCACUUUUGGUAAUUGAACUAGUGCAAAUGGAGAAGUGGGUUUUUGGAACUGAGUUGUGGAUGGUAGCGUAUAUAAGUUAGUAUAUGCUAUCAGCGUUUAUAUAUUAGAUUGGACGGUGGAGAUUAAAGUGAGGAUGCACUGUGAAGGCUGCGAGAGGAAGGUGAAGAAAGCUGUGGAAGGCAUGAAAGGUACGCCCUGUUUCUCUAUGUAUGUAUUCGCUCACGUGAGAUGGAAGGAGCGCUUAGCAGCGCACUGCCCAUAUGGUACACGUGGGCGAGAUCCGGACCAUUCACCACUAAGGGUAGGCAGCGACCAUACCUGGCCCAAAAUUCAAGUCCGGUGCACCGGUGAGGCGGGCCACAUGUAUCUGACUAUUUGGUUCGUACAUGCUCACAGUGUGUAUUCUCAUGCAUAGCUGAUACACCGAACAUUUAGUGUAUGUACACUAUUUCCCGACCACCUGCUCUGUGUCUCAUUGCUACCAUCCGAUCAUGCCCCAGUAUACGCUAUUGAUAUACCAAACAUCGGUGUAGAUUGCCCGCAACCAGAAACACUGUGGGCCCACGGUGAUCUUUGUGUUAUUUCCAUUCCAUCCAUCCAUUUCGAUGGGCUACACAUCAAUAAACGGCGGCGAGAUUGAACUCCCAUCAUCAAAACCUCCUUUGGGACCACAAAAAAAUAAAAAUAAAAAUAUAUAUACUGCCAGAUUGAGCUCCUGCAGUUGAAACAUAGGGGGAUGGAAACAGAUGGACGGAGUGGAUCUUCUAAACUAAUGAGCUGGAGAAACAGAUGAACGGAUUGGAUAUAACACAAAUAU
RNA transcript from Magnolia sinica, 1160 nucleotides. It is a transcript of the gene named heavy metal-associated isoprenylated plant protein 26-like, with no coding region annotated. Lineage: Eukaryota; Viridiplantae; Streptophyta; Magnoliopsida; Magnoliales; Magnoliaceae. The transcript has 2 exons. The record is from RefSeq and is a predicted model, not a curated record.